Molecule: long non-coding RNA, 208 nt
Filed under: Elaeis guineensis (African oil palm)
Lineage: Eukaryota; Viridiplantae; Streptophyta; Magnoliopsida; Arecales; Arecaceae
Description: long non-coding RNA (EGUI_LNC024589)
Source: RNAcentral
UGCCAGAACACUACACUUAUAUCUCGCGGAGUGGGUCAGAAUACGACACUUACAUCUUAUAGCUAGGAAAGAAGAAUGCACUUAGAAUUAAUCAAAGUGUUAAUAUGUAACCCCCAAAUAAUAAGGUCCGAAACAUAGUUAGCCCAUGAACCCAAAUAUGAUACGAAUAAGAGCUCUUUACAAAAUAAUAUAUAUAUCAUAAUCCAAC